RNA transcript from Lolium perenne, 1721 nucleotides. It is a transcript of the gene named DNA-dependent metalloprotease WSS1, with no coding region annotated. The record is from RefSeq and is a predicted model, not a curated record. Lineage: Eukaryota; Viridiplantae; Streptophyta; Magnoliopsida; Poales; Poaceae.
UACCUUCCCACGGAAAUUCUCCCACACGCGGCCGUCUCCCAUAAACUGCCCCUCAACUCCCGCCCGCCGCGCCGCCCCCAAUCGAUUUCAAAUCGCAGGCGCCGGGUCGGCGUGAAUCCGCGGCGGCGAUGGAGGUGGGCGACGUGCACAAGGUGUGGGAGAUCCGCGCCCUCAAGCGAAAGCCCGACGAGCCCUCCGCCCGCGCGCUACUCGACCGCAUCGCCAAGCAGGUCCAGCCCAUCAUGCGCCGCCGCAAGUGGCGCGUCAAGGUCCUCUCCGAGUUCUCGCCGAAGAACCCUAGUUUGCUGGGACUCAACGUCAACAGGGGCGCCGAGGUGAAGCUGCGGCUGCGGCCCGACGGUCGGGACAACGAAUUCAUGCCCUACGAGGAGGUGCUCGACACCAUGCUCCACGAGCUCGCCCACAAUGCGCGCGGUCCCCACGACGCCCAGUUUUACAAGCUCUGGGACGAACUCCGCAAGGAGUGUGAAGAACUUAUUUCAAAGGGUAUCACUGGACCAGGACAAGGGUUUGAUGGUACAGGCAGGAGAUUAGGUGGAUUUUCAGUACAUCCACCACCACCAUCUCUCCGGCAAGCUGCAUUAAGUGCUGCACAGAAACGGGCAAGGAAUGGAGCUUUAUUGCCAUCUGGCCCAAGAAAGCUGGGUGGAAAUAGUGAUAUUAUGAGCGCGCUGAGUCCAGUACAAGCUGCUGCAAUGGCUGCUGAAAGGAGAAUGCAAGAUGACCUGUGGUGUGGAUCACAUAACCAAUCUGGUAUUGAUGAUUCAGAAGAUGUUAUUAUUCUUGAGAAACCACCUAACUUCACAGCAAGGGAUAGAAAACGCACAAAAGCUGGAAAAAACACAAAGGCUGUGUUUUCGAGUGGUUCUGCAGAGUCCAGCACUUCAUCUCGAUCUCAAGUAACAGCACCAGAGGAUUCCUCUUCUUGUAGGACAACUGACGCGGGCAUCAGUUCUUUGUGGGGGUGUAGUGCUUGCACUCUUCUAAAUCAGCCUCUGGCACCAAUAUGUGAAGUUUGUGGAACAGCGAAACCGAAAAUUGCAAAAGCCAAGUACACAACUUGGUCCUGUAAAUUCUGUACUCUAGAGAACAGCGCCGAGCUUGAGAAAUGUUCGGCAUGCACUCAAUGGAGAUACUCAUAUGGACCACCUGGGGCCACAUAUGGUUCAAGCUAUGAUUGACAUUCAUUGAAAGCUACAAUAAUACGCAUGGCAGGUGUAUGCAAAGCUGUAGGAGAAAUCUACUACCGCAAACAGUUUCAGCUAUUGAUCAUCUUCUGCAUUCAUCUUAGCGUGGAUCACACUUUUGGUCAGGCACCUGCUGCAUUGUCUAUAAAUUGUCUUAUUAGCAGCUGUUGCUUCUGUUACCACUGCAUGCCAAGUCUUUCCAUCAAGCGUUAGCUUGCUAUCCAUCCGUGUAUACAAGGCCUAUUAGUACAUGAUUAAUAGGAUUUGUAAACCUGGAUGGAGGGACUAUCCAAGUAGCCUUACUACAGUAUAGAGUAUUCUGGUAGCGGAUCAACCCAAUUCUUGUUUGGGAGCAUUGAAAUCAUGGGGAGCUGGUUAGUUUGUCACGCCAUAUGUUUCUGUUAUCUUGCACUCCCCUAACUUGCUUUUGUGCAAGGAUGCCGCUAUAUAUCUUUGGAGCAAUUUUGUUUCCACGCACAUAGUCAAUGCAAUCUUUGCGUUCAUGAAAUCUAA